CGAACCUUUAUUCCAGUUGCUGUUUUUUCUUGUGUAUGUUUCAGUCAUUUCCAUGAUUCAAAAGUUGCUACUUUCUAUGUACUGGCAAAGAGAUAGUGUAAGAGAACGGCAAUUGUGGGCGUGUGUAUGCAAGUGCUGGGGCAGAUCUUGCUCAUUUGAAGCUACAAAACAAAGACUGUGGACGAUUAUUUGCUUCGAGACUCGGUGAAUUGGAAGUAGAGUGUGAGAAAAAAAAAAUCACUCAGUUUAUUUGUCUUCGAGUGCACAACGUUAAUUUCUAGCCGAUUGAGAGAGCAACAACAUAGGGGUUUCGAUUUCUGCAAAGCUAGAUUUUCGAAGCUCAUCAAGUUUGCUGACAAAAACAA
Long non-coding RNA from Juglans microcarpa x Juglans regia, 365 nucleotides. RefSeq lists it as uncharacterized. Lineage: Eukaryota; Viridiplantae; Streptophyta; Magnoliopsida; Fagales; Juglandaceae. The transcript has 2 exons. The record is from RefSeq and is a predicted model, not a curated record.